GGUCGGUCUGCAUGCAGUGGUGUUUACAACUAAUUGAUCACAUUCAGUCACAGAUUCCUUUGUUCCUUCUCCACUCCCACAGCUUCACUUAACUAAAAAA
This 100-nucleotide Y RNA is filed under the name Microcebus murinus (gray mouse lemur). RNAcentral's name for it is "Y RNA (ENSMICG00000045191.1)". It matches the Rfam family "Y RNA". From Rfam's summary of the family: Y RNAs are components of the Ro ribonucleoprotein particle (Ro RNP), in association with Ro60 and La proteins. The Y RNAs and Ro60 and La proteins are well conserved, but the function of the Ro RNP is not known. The record is from Rfam by way of RNAcentral. Lineage: Eukaryota; Metazoa; Chordata; Mammalia; Primates; Cheirogaleidae.